UUAGGGUUUUUGAAGGAGAUACUGGAACUUCCAAGUGGGAUAUUCAUGAGUGGAGGGACGUAAACUCCAGGUGGCAGGGCUACAGUUUUGAUCACAGUCUGUGGAGAUUCAUUCCUGUCGGGACAAUGAAUUUUAUACUCAUGUUAUAGGUGUUAAAGUUGACAGGAAGCAGCUGAAAGACACAGCCUUGUGGUGCGAGCCGGGCAGCUGGACACUGUGCAUGGAGAAUCUCG
Molecule: long non-coding RNA, 233 nt
Organism: Lagenorhynchus albirostris (white-beaked dolphin)
Lineage: Eukaryota; Metazoa; Chordata; Mammalia; Artiodactyla; Delphinidae
Exons: 3
Source: RefSeq, a predicted model, not a curated record